RNAcentral lists this ribosomal RNA (253 nucleotides) under uncultured bacterium. Its description in RNAcentral is "partial 16S ribosomal RNA". It matches the Rfam family "Bacterial small subunit ribosomal RNA", at positions 524 to 776 of the family's 1533-position model. The record is from RNAcentral.
UACGUAGGGUGCGAGCGUUAAUCGGAAUUACUGGGCGUAAAGCGCACGUAGGUGGCGACGUAAGUCGGGUGUGAAAGCCCCGGGCUCAACCUGGGAAUUGCAUUCGAGACUGCAUUGCUGGAGUACGAAAGAGGAAGGCGGAAUUCCCGGUGUAGCGGUGAAAUGCGUAGAUAUCGGGAGGAACAUCAGUGGCGAAGGCGGCCUUCUGGUCCAGUACUGACACUCAAGUGCGAAAGCGUGGGGAGCAAACAGG